CGGUUUGUCGCGUCUGUCGUGAAAGUCGGGGCUUAACCCCGGAUCUGCGGUGGGUACGGGCAGACUAGGGUGCAGUAGGGGAGACUGGAAUUCCUGGUGUAGCGGUGGAAUGCGCAGAUAUCAGGAGGAACACCGAUGGCGAAGGCAGGUCUCUGGGCUGUAACUGACGCUGAGGAGCGAAAGCAUGGGGAGCGAACAGGAUUAGAUACCCUGGUAGUCCAUGCCGUAAACGUUGGGCACUAGGUGUGGGGACCAUUCCACGGUUUCCGCGCCGCAGCUAACGCAUUAAGUGCCCCGCCUGGGGAGUACGGCCGCAAGGCUAAAACUCAAAGGAAUUGACGGGGGCCCGCACAAGCGGCGGAGCAUGCGGAUUAAUUCGAUGCAACGCGAAGAACCUUACCAAGGCUUGACAUGUUCUCGAUUGCCGUAGAGAUACGGUUUCCCCUUUGGGGCGGGUUCACAGGUGGUGCAUGGUUGUCGUCAGCUCGUGUCGUGAGAUGUUGGGUUAAGUCCCGCAACGAGCGCAACCCUCGUUCCAUGUUGCCAGCACGUAAUGGUGGGGACUCAUGGGAGACUGCCGGGGUCAACUCGGAGGAAGGUGAGGACGACGUCAAAUCAUCGUGCCCCUUAUGUCUUGGGCUUCACGCAUGCUACAAUGGCCGGUACAAUGGGUUGCGAUACUGUGAGGUGGAGCUAAUCCCAAAAAGCCGGUCUCAGUUCGGAUUGGGGUCUGCAACUCGACCCAUGAAGUCGGAGUCGCUAGUAAU
RNAcentral lists this ribosomal RNA (767 nucleotides) under uncultured bacterium. RNAcentral's name for it is "bacterial SSU rRNA". It matches the Rfam family "Bacterial small subunit ribosomal RNA", at positions 576 to 1342 of the family's 1533-position model. The record is from RNAcentral.